AAACAUGUCAGCCAUUAGACAAUCCUAAAAAAGCUCAUUUAUUUUAACAGAAGCAAAAAGAAAUUCAAACAAUUAAAAGAAAAACAAAAAACACAAAAAUAAAUCAACAAAAGAUAAAUCCUAAACUAUGAUUCUCCUCCCCCACACUUAAAUCACACAUUGUCCUCAAUGUAAAAUCAAUAAAUAAAUGUGUAUAAUAAAAGUGAGAGAAGAAGUACUCCCUCAUUCAGCUUGAGGGAAGUGGCAGUCGCAGCUGUUUCAACCAUCC
This 268-nucleotide long non-coding RNA is filed under the name Phaseolus vulgaris (common bean). RNAcentral describes it as "long non-coding RNA (PVUL_LNC005077)". Lineage: Eukaryota; Viridiplantae; Streptophyta; Magnoliopsida; Fabales; Fabaceae. The record is from RNAcentral.